ACAGCUAUAGCUCAGUGAUAUAGCAUAUGUCUAGCAUGUAUGAGACCCUAGGUUCAAUUCCUAGUACUGUC
Molecule: transfer RNA, 71 nt
Filed under: Neotoma lepida (desert woodrat)
Lineage: Eukaryota; Metazoa; Chordata; Mammalia; Rodentia; Cricetidae
Rfam family: tRNA
About the family: Transfer RNA (tRNA) molecules are approximately 80 nucleotides in length. Their secondary structure includes four short double-helical elements and three loops (D, anti-codon, and T loops). Further hydrogen bonds mediate the characteristic L-shaped molecular structure. tRNAs have two regions of fundamental functional importance: the anti-codon, which is responsible for specific mRNA codon recognition, and the 3' end, to which the tRNAs corresponding amino acid is attached (by aminoacyl-tRNA synthetases). tRNAs cope with the degeneracy of the genetic code in two manners: having more than one tRNA (with a specific anti-codon) for a particular amino acid; and 'wobble' base-pairing, i.e. permitting non-standard base-pairing at the 3rd anti-codon position.
Source: Rfam by way of RNAcentral